Long non-coding RNA from Dreissena polymorpha, 950 nucleotides. RefSeq lists it as uncharacterized. The transcript is spliced from 4 exons. Lineage: Eukaryota; Metazoa; Mollusca; Bivalvia; Myida; Dreissenidae. The record is from RefSeq and is a predicted model, not a curated record.
CCGGUGUGACGUGAAACUCGUCAGACCAUGAGAAGGGUCAGAUAAACGGAAAACACAGAGCACUGCGCAUGCGCAUUAGAACAUAAAUAAACAAAAUCAUAUGCGUGAGAACCGUCAGAUACAGAUAAAUCAAGAGUUGUGCUUUACGUGGGACAUUUAACACAAAGUAACAUAUGCAUGCCACCCACAAACAAACGGCCUUGAUGAAAGGACCAAUCAAACAAUCAAAAGGGCCUUAAGCAAAUUGGUCAACGACAUAUAGAACGAUUGGGAUGAAAGGCUUGAUGAGGUUCUUUUCUCAAUUCGGACCAAAAAACAGUUGUCAACUAAAUUCAGCCCAUUCUUCCUUCUGUACGGACGGGAAGCAAUGUACCCGAGUCAGUUGCAGACUGUGGCUCUUGAUGACAAAAAAGGUGUAUUGUCCGACCCAGACAUGAUUGAAAAACCAUCCAGUGUGCGAAAGCAACAAACAGAAACUGCAGGAAAAGUUGUACUGGACAAUAUGUCUAAAGCCUAAGAGACUAAUUUCAAGCCAACAACAAAAAAAGAAAAUUUGAUCAAAUACAUGUGGGGGCUAGAGUGUUAAAGUUCAAUGCUUCGAGGGCGGCGAGAAAAGCCAAAGGAAAUCUUGAAAGUAAUUACACUGGACCAUAUGUUGUAGACAAUAUAAAAGGGAAUAUUGCAACACUUAAAACAAUGAGUGGACAGGUUUUGAAGUCUGGAGUGUCCCUCAACAACGUAAAAAUAUUUGUGGAAUCAGCAGUGGAAUCAGCAGAAAAUUGCUUAAAGCUUCAAACAGGAGUCAGCAGAGUAAAUACAAUACAAUGUAUUUGCAGUUUUACAGAAAAGCCAAGUGUUUGUCCAGUCAGCUCCUUCAUUAAUGAGGCUUUAAAACUAAAUCAAGGUCAAAUACACUUAAUACUAAAAAGUAAAGAUGGAAACUAAAAUUU